This 240-nucleotide ribosomal RNA is filed under the name uncultured bacterium. RNAcentral's name for it is "partial 16S ribosomal RNA". It matches the Rfam family "Bacterial small subunit ribosomal RNA", at positions 15 to 249 of the family's 1533-position model. The record is from RNAcentral.
AAUCAUGGCUCAGGAUGGACGCUAGCGACAGGCUUAACACAUGCAAGUCGAGGGGCAGCACAGGGUAGCAAUACUUGGGUGGCGACCGGCGCACGGGUGAGUAACGCGUAUGCAACUUACCUAUCAGAGGGGGAUAGCCCGGCGAAAGUCGGAUUAAUACCCCAUGAAACAGGGGUCCCGCAUGGGAAUAUUUGUUAAAGAUUCAUCGCUGAUAGAUAGGCAUGCGUUCCAUUAGGCAGG